This 305-nucleotide ribosomal RNA is filed under the name uncultured bacterium. RNAcentral describes it as "bacterial SSU rRNA". It matches the Rfam family "Bacterial small subunit ribosomal RNA", at positions 338 to 641 of the family's 1533-position model. The record is from RNAcentral.
CCUACGGGAGGCAGCAGUGAGGAAUAUUGGUCAAUGGGCGGGAGCCUGAACCAGCCAAGCCGCGUGAGGGAAGAAGGUACAGCGUAUCGUAAACCUCUUUUGUCAGGGAACAAAGGCGGGGACUAGUCCCCGGAUGAGUGUACCUGAAGAAAAAGCAUCGGCUAACUCCGUGCCAGCAGCCGCGGUAAUACGGAGGAUGCGAGCGUUAUCCGGAUUUAUUGGGUUUAAAGGGUGCGCAGGCGGUCUGUUAAGUCAGCGGUCCAAGCCCGGGGCUCAACCCCGGCCCGCCGAUGAAACUGGCCGUU